UCCUGUUCUUUCCGAAGCUCCGCCUUCAGCACACAGCCCAUCACAACCAGUAAAAUGUGCUGAGCAUGUCGGUCCCUGUAGAGACAAACAGAAGCUGCAGAGACAAUGACAAGAAACCUCAGCAGCAUCACUCUGCUGCUGCUCUGCUGCUGCUAUUGUUCUCUGAGCAGUGAUGUCCAGCAGGAACCACCAUCAAUAUUAGGAACUCUUCAGGGUCCUGCAACAAUCACCUGCAGCCACUCAGUCAGCACAUACAACGUGAUCCUGUGGUACCAGAAGCCGACUGGCGGCUCUGCUCUCAAGUUAGUCGGUCAUACUUUGUAUGAAAGUCCAACAAUGGAGGAUGAAUUCAAAGGUCACUUCAAUAUAAAAGGAGACGGCUCAAAGAAAUCUGAGCUCCAUGUGGAGAAACUGCAGCCAGAAGACAGCAGCAUGUAUUACUGUGCAGCUAGUAGACACAGUGACUCGCUUCAUGUCUCCCCCUCUACAAAAAGUCUGUGUGAUGCAACCUUCUCUGUUACCGAGGGAACCAUCGUUCACCUGCUGAUAACAUAGUAUUCAACAAAACCACAGGGGAGGAGAGGCUGAUCAUAAUGAGAUGUGUAAUCUUACUUUGCCCACUAGAGGGUGGUGUUUUUUCC
This is a non-coding RNA of Poecilia latipinna (sailfin molly), 641 nucleotides long. The record is from the annotation of a RefSeq genome assembly. NCBI's taxonomy places the organism in Eukaryota, Metazoa, Chordata, Actinopteri, Cyprinodontiformes, Poeciliidae.